UAAAUUUUCAAGUCUGAGUUUUGAUUUCACAUAUAAGUGGGUAAGAGAAAAUUGUGUCAGGAAGUUUAUAGUUCAGCUGUAUGAGAAUGAUAUCACAUUUCUUUACUUUUAAAAGGAAGUAUACAGAUAAGUAGGUUUUUAAAAUACCUCCUACUGUGCCAUUUUUAAGAUCUCUUUCUUUUUUCUUCAGGACAAUGAUGAAUCUAGAAUAUCUUGACAGCCAACUUAGAGGUGACAUCAGUACCUGUGGAAGGCCAGACUCCCUUGAGAAUUCAGAGUCUAACUGCAGUCUAAUGAAAGUGCAGUUUUCUUGUAUUCUGGGAUUUAAUGGUCCCAUUCCAAAGGAAGAAAGAAAAGGGGCUGAUAUGUAGCAUUUGCCUUAAAAUAGGACCAUACUGACAGAUGUCAAGCUACCAACUUGAGGCUACUGAACUAGAAACUGCGAACUGAUUCACACCAUAACUCCACCAGCUAGUGUGGGCUGACCCCAACAUAUUAAUACAACUGUUGCCAUAUUAUAAGUUAAAACUAACAAAUGUUAGAAUAUUUAUUCAUCUGUUAAAAAUAAUCCAGGCCAGCUACAUCAUCUGAGAAGCCUAGAACAAAAUGAAAGAGUGAGGUCUUUGUUUAAAAAAGCAGAAAAAUAUAUUAAAGUUACUAAAAUCAAAAUGCCUUUUUUCUUUUAUUUAUGGUUUUGCCAUUUUUGUAAAAUUUGCCAUUUAAUGUCAUGAUAAAUAAGGGAAAAUGAAUUUUACCAUUCAUCUUUGUUGUGCAAUGUCAGUUUUAAAUGCAAACAUAAGAAUAAAUGUAAUUGCACAGUGUGUAUUUAUUUCAUAGCUCAUAUGUACAUAAGUAUUUCGUUCUUACCAGAACAGCAGAAAUGCACAAAACUAACUCAAAUCUGUUUCCAUUUUACCUCUUGAUAUUUUACCUACAUUCUCUACCUUUGCCUUACUGAUUUGUAAGAAAGGAUUGAAGGGAAUAGAACUAUCCUAUCUUUUAUAUUCCUUUCAUGUCAUCAUGUCAGUAUAAGUGAUCUCCUGCCACCCAACCCUAGUCUUAUUCGUAGACGUAGUUUGUCUUAAAUUUGCCUUGAAACUCAUUGAAUCCCAAUGCAUUGUGGGUCUACCAGAGCUCUGUUUUCAGGGACAUUGUGAAUGCUCUGUAGUAACAGUAUUGCAAGGAAUGGUGAACUUGUGGAUUGAGUAUAUGUCCUCUGCUUAGGCAUAUGCUUUAUUUUCCCAUUGGACUUCACUUAUAAAAUACAAAUUCAAAGACAAAAGUAAGAAUUUCAAGAUGGCAACACAGCAGAGCAUUAAACAAAGCAUGAACCCUUUCUGAGUACGUGGCCCCUGUGAUACUUCACUGGCUGCACACCUAUGAAGUCAGCCCUGAAAAUAGCAAUAGCAAAAUCAUUCCAUGUUAAUGUAAAUAUUUUCAGAAGGAAUAAGUGUGUUUUCGAAAAGUAUAAGAAAAGUUACAUUGUUUUGCACUUUUGCAAAUAUCUUUACUGCCUAGCUUAAUAGAAGACAGCUGGAGCCUCAUGUCUAUUUCUGCAUUCAAUAGGU
RNAcentral lists this long non-coding RNA (1568 nucleotides) under Callithrix jacchus (white-tufted-ear marmoset). Its description in RNAcentral is "lncRNA (ENSCJAG00000069754.1)". The record is from RNAcentral. Lineage: Eukaryota; Metazoa; Chordata; Mammalia; Primates; Cebidae.